GGCUGAAGUCCGCCGCUCUCCCCGGCGCCCCGCGCCCCCGCCUGGCCGGCAUCGCGGUCCCUCCCCAGCUUUUGUCCCUCCCCAGCCCCGGAGCCCCCGGGGUCCGGAAACUCGCGGGGGCUGGGCCGGAGGCCCUGGGCGUCCAACUGACGGCCGGGGUCUCCCUCCAGGACCGCCGCCUCCGAGCCUGCGGGGCUAUGUGGAUGGGGCCCGAGGGGGCGUCUGGAAGGAGGGUAGAGGGACAGGGCGUCUUUUCUGUUUUCACUGUUGAGCACCUUUCUGCCAGGUCGGAGCGUGAGGACUAGAGAAGAAGAGAUGGCCGGUCCACUGCCCUCCGCACUACAGCUCAGUAUCUGGGGUGACACCCCCCUCCUCCUCCACACACUGAGACGAUGCAAAUUCGCAUUCCUGGUGCACUGUUGUGGCCAGAUGCAGAACUACUCUUUGGUUAACAAGGGGACGCCAGGUGAAGGUGCCCAGGCCUCUGUCCUCGCCCCCGCCCAUCGGCCGCACCCCAAUAAAAAAAAAGACACGGCUUGUUGCCGGCGCCUGGCUCAGUACGGCCCACAGCUGUGUUCAGGGUGGCUGGCUCUGAACUGAUCUAAGCGGACUCUAUCGGCUGCUUUUCUUCUGCUCAACAACAGAGCUACACCAACCUCAACUUCGUUUUCCAGAACCUACGACUUUAGCCCCACCCCCUGCCCCGCCUUAGCGGACACUCAGAGAUUGCCUGCUCUGCCCAGAGCUGAUCUCCACAUUGGAACACAGGCACAGAAUAGAGAGUGGCAGGAAAGUUCUAGGAAAACAAUCUCCACAAAUGAAGAAAGAGAAAAUAACAUCUGGCGAUGAAAUGACCUCCAAAGCUGAAGAUCAGGGGGGAAGUCUCAGAGACAGACACAGGAAAACUCCUGGAGGCCUCCUCCCACACAUAAAUAAAAACCUUCCACUGA
This is a long non-coding RNA of Neofelis nebulosa (Clouded leopard), 950 nucleotides long. RefSeq lists it as uncharacterized. NCBI's taxonomy places the organism in Eukaryota, Metazoa, Chordata, Mammalia, Carnivora, Felidae. The record is from RefSeq and is a predicted model, not a curated record. The transcript is spliced from 3 exons.